GAGGGAGGGUGCAAGCGUUGUUCGGAAUCACUGGGCGUAAAGCGCGUGUAGGCGGUCCGAUAAGUCGAGUGUGAAAGCCCGGGGCUCAACCUCGGAAGUGCACUCGAAACUGCUGGGCUUGAGUACGGGAGAGGGAAGCGGAAUUCCUGGUGUAGAGGUGAAAUUCGUAGAUAUCAGGAGGAACACCGGUGGCGAAGGCGGCUUCCUGGACCGAUACUGACGCUGAGACGCGAAAGCGUGGGGAGCAAACAGG
Molecule: ribosomal RNA, 253 nt
Filed under: uncultured bacterium
Lineage: Bacteria
Description: partial 16S ribosomal RNA
Rfam family: Bacterial small subunit ribosomal RNA
Source: RNAcentral